AGGCCGAAUUUUUCAAUGAGUUUGUACAUGAGUUUCAUUAUAUAAAUGUUGAUUGGGCAGACUCUCCUUCAGAAAGAUAUUCUACAUGAGAUUACUGUGCUCUUUCUUGGAAAUAUGAUAUUGUGGCAACAAGAAGCAGACAGAACCCACUUGGGUUGGUUUGGUGGUAUUGGCUUGGGACCUGGGAGUGUGCUCCUCCUUAAGGUCUCAGGUUCGAUUCUCUCUGGUGCCAAUUUGGGUCGGCUAAUUUAAC
RNAcentral lists this long non-coding RNA (253 nucleotides) under Trifolium pratense (red clover). Its description in RNAcentral is "long non-coding RNA (TPRA_LNC007378)". The record is from RNAcentral. Lineage: Eukaryota; Viridiplantae; Streptophyta; Magnoliopsida; Fabales; Fabaceae.